GAGUUUGAUCAUGGCUCAGAUUGAACGCUGGCGGCAGGCCUAACACAUGCAAGUCGAACGGUAACAGGAAACAGCUUGCUGUUUCGCUGACGAGUGGCGGACGGGUGAGUAAUGUCUGGGAAACUGCCUGAUGGAGGGGGAUAACUACUGGAAACGGUAGCUAAUACCGCAUAACGUCGCAAGACCAAAGAGGGGGACCUUCGGGCCUCUUGCCAUCAGAUGUGCCCAGAUGGGAUUAGCUAGUAGGUGGGGUAACGGCUCACCUAGGCGACGAUCCCUAGCUGGUCUGAGAGGAUGACCAGCCACACUGGAACUGAGACACGGUCCAGACUCCUACGGGAGGCAGCAGUGGGGAAUAUUGCACAAUGGGCGCAAGCCUGAUGCAGCCAUGCCGCGUGUAUGAAGAAGGCCUUCGGGUUGUAAAGUACUUUCAGCGGGGAGGAAGGGAGUAAAGUUAAUACCUUUGCUCAUUGACGUUACCCGCAGAAGAAGCACCGGCUAACUCCGUGCCAGCAGCCGCGGUGAUACGGAGGGUGCAAGCGUUAAUCGGAAUUACUGGGCGUAAAGCGCACGCAGGCGGUUUGUUAAGUCAGAUGUGAAAUCCCCGGGCUCAACCUGGGAACUGCAUCUGAUACUGGCAAGCUUGAGUCUCGUAGAGGGGGGUAGAAUUCCAGGUGUAGCGGUGAAAUGCGUAGAGAUCUGGAGGAAUACCGGUGGCGAAGGCGGCCCCCUGGACGAAGACUGACGCUCAGGUGCGAAAGCGUGGGGAGCAAACAGGAUUAGAUACCCUGGUAGUCCACGUCGUAAACGAUGUCGACUUGGAGGUUGUGCCCUUGAGGCGUGGCUUCCGGAGCUAACGCGUUAAGUCGACCGCCUGGGGAGUACGGCCGCAAGGUUAAAACUCAAAUGAAUUGACGGGGGCCCGCACAAGCGGUGGAGCAUGUGGUUUAAUUCGAUGCAACGCGAAGAACCUUACCUGGUCUUGACAUCCACGGAAGUUUUCAGAGAUGAGAAUGUGCCUUCGGGAACCGUGAGACAGGUGCUGCAUGGCUGUCGUCAGCUCGUGUUGUGAAAUGUUGGGUUAAGUCCCGCAACGAGCGCAACCCUUAUCCUUUGUUGCCAGCGGUCCGGCCGGGAACUCAAAGGAGACUGCCAGUGAUAAACUGGAGGAAGGUGGGGAUGACGUCAAGUCAUCAUGGCCCUUACGACCAGGGCUACACACGUGCUACAAUGGCGCAUACAAAGAGAAGCGACCUCGCGAGAGCAAGCGGACCUCAUAAAGUGCGUCGUAGUCCGGAUUGGAGUCUGCAACUCGACUCCAUGAAGUCGGAAUCGCUAGUAAUCGUGGAUCAGAAUGCCACGGUGAAUACGUUCCCGGGCCUUGUACACACCGCCCGUCACACCAUGGGAGUGGGUUGCAAAAGAAGUAGGUAGCUUAACCUUCGGGAGGGCGCUUACCACUUUGUGAUUCAUGACUGGGGUGAAGUCGUAACAAGGUAACCGUAGGGGAACCUGCGGUUG
Molecule: ribosomal RNA, 1521 nt
Filed under: metagenome
Description: bacterial SSU rRNA
Rfam family: Bacterial small subunit ribosomal RNA
Source: RNAcentral